CCCCUCCAGUUCCCGUAAACCCACCUGUUCCAAUCUAUAAACCUCCACCAGUUCCAGUCUAUAAACCUCCUCCAGUUCCAGUAAAACCACUUCCUCCACCUGUUCCGAUCUACAAACCUCCACCAGUUGAAAAACCACAUCCUCCACCUGUUCCAAUCUACAAACCUCCACCAGUUGAAAAACCACAUCCUCCACCUGUUCCAAUCUACAAACCUCCACCAGUUGAAAAACCACAUCCUCCACCUGUUCCAGUUUAUAAACCUCCACCAGUUGAAAAACCACAUCCUCCACCUGUUCCAGUCUAUAAACCUCCACCAGUUCCAGUAUAUAAGAAACCAUGUCCUCCACCAGUUCCAGUCUAUAAAUCUCCUCCGGUUCCAGUAUACAAGAAACCGCAUCCUCCUCCAGUUCCAGU
RNAcentral lists this long non-coding RNA (415 nucleotides) under Gossypium barbadense (sea-island cotton). RNAcentral's name for it is "long non-coding RNA (GBAR_LNC000810)". The record is from RNAcentral. Lineage: Eukaryota; Viridiplantae; Streptophyta; Magnoliopsida; Malvales; Malvaceae.